AUCGUCUUUCAAUGUUAUUUGCCU
This 24-nucleotide non-coding RNA is filed under the name Arabidopsis thaliana (thale cress). Lineage: Eukaryota; Viridiplantae; Streptophyta; Magnoliopsida; Brassicales; Brassicaceae. The record is from RNAcentral.